UCCCUGGUCGCUCAGAUGGUAAAAGCAUCUGCCUACAAUGCAGGAGACCUGGGUUCAAUUCCUGGUUUGGGAA
Bos taurus (domestic cattle) is the source of this 73-nucleotide non-coding RNA. Lineage: Eukaryota; Metazoa; Chordata; Mammalia; Artiodactyla; Bovidae. The record is from Rfam.